Long non-coding RNA from Malania oleifera, 759 nucleotides. RefSeq lists it as uncharacterized. The transcript has 2 exons. Lineage: Eukaryota; Viridiplantae; Streptophyta; Magnoliopsida; Santalales; Ximeniaceae. The record is from RefSeq and is a predicted model, not a curated record.
AAUACUAGUUUUUUAAACCUUACAAUCUGAUGGGCAUCAAUUCAAAAGUAAUAACAAAAAGAAAAAAAAUUAUUUUUUUACAAUGGGAAAUAGGUGUCACUUUAAAAGAGGAGAGGGCAGGAUUUUUAGAUUUUGUAAUUCGUCACAAAAAAAUCUGAAACCCUAACAGUGCUGGUCUCCCGGGUAUGUUCAACAGUGACCAUGCCCGUCCGCCGUUCUUUCCCAGGACUAAACGAACUAUAGAGACACAGAAGGGGGGCGAAAUGGAAGGCAAAGGUCAAAGAGAGAGGAACGAGUCCUCGUCUGAUUCACGGCAAACAGGCAUGAGAAGUAUGUGGCCCAGUGUAGGGCAGUUUUUGUUGUCAACUGCAAGAACAAGGGCGAUCAAAUGUGGCAGCGAAGUUGUCUAAAACAAAAUAGGGGGAAACCAGAGAAGAAUCCGGUGAAAACCUAGCAGGCCCAAGUGGCGUUGAAUCAUUUAAGCAAGUUUGCUGCUCAGUUUGCUCAACAGAUGGAGUCAUCGACAGUGAUGAGGUUGAUCAUUUUUUCAAUGUUCUUCCUAGUGAGUGUUGAUAUGCUCUGAUUCAUUUCUGGUUUAUGGGGUGAAGUAAUCAAUCCAGCAGGAGUGCUGGUGCAUGAUGUGUAUAAAUGGUUGGUUCUAUAUGUUACCUCUCUGAGGUCUAGUCUAUUUUGUAUAACUUCUCCAUGGGUCUUUUAGAUGAAAUCAAUCGAGCAGGAGUUCUGGUCAUGGAGAUCAAA